Molecule: ribosomal RNA, 253 nt
Filed under: uncultured bacterium
Lineage: Bacteria
Description: partial 16S ribosomal RNA
Rfam family: Bacterial small subunit ribosomal RNA
Source: RNAcentral
UACGUAGGGUGCAAGCGUUAAUCGGAAUUACUGGGCGUAAAGCGUGCGCAGGCGGUUUUGUAAGUCUGUCGUGAAAGCCCCGGGCUCAACCUGGGAAUUGCAUUUGUGACUGCACGGCUAGAGUGUGUCAGAGGGGGGUAGAAUUCCACGUGUAGCAGUGAAAUGCGUAGAUAUGUGGAGGAAUACCGAUGGCGAAGGCAGCCCCCUGGGAUAACACUGACGCUCAUGCACGAAAGCGUGGGGAGCAAACAGG